UACGUAGGCAGCGAGCGUUGUUCGGAAUUACUGGGCGUAAAGGGCUCGUAGGCGGCCAACUAAGUCAGACGUGAAAUCCCUCGGCUUAACCGGGGAACUGCGUCUGAUACUGGAUGGCUUGAGAUUGGGAGAGGGAUGCGGAAUUCCAGGUGUAGCGGUGAAAUGCGUAGAUAUCUGGAGGAACACCGGUGGCGAAGGCGGCAUCCUGGACCAACACUGACGCUGAGGAGCGAAAGCCAGGGGAGCAAACGGG
RNAcentral lists this ribosomal RNA (253 nucleotides) under uncultured bacterium. RNAcentral's name for it is "partial 16S ribosomal RNA". It matches the Rfam family "Bacterial small subunit ribosomal RNA", at positions 524 to 776 of the family's 1533-position model. The record is from RNAcentral.